This 292-nucleotide long non-coding RNA is filed under the name Mytilus galloprovincialis (Mediterranean mussel). The record is from RNAcentral. Lineage: Eukaryota; Metazoa; Mollusca; Bivalvia; Mytilida; Mytilidae.
GCCAAGACUAUUCUCAGGAAAUGGCACCAGAGAAAUUGUGGAAAUGCUAAGCAAUUGUUGAGGCAAUCUUUUUAUUUUUACUCCUUUUCAUUUAGGAUUGGCUUUACAAAUGUACCGUGAGUUUGGUUCAAAACACCUUGUUGAAACAUUGAAUGCCAAUGGAUUUUAUGCUUCUUAAAAUAAAGUGCGACGCUAUCUAAUGUGUUGCCAACCAUGAAAUUGAGCGAAUUCAAGAUAGUGUGUACUUCUCGUAUGAUGUUUCCCCAGCAUCUUUGCAGACAAGCAUAUGGAU